Molecule: long non-coding RNA, 3848 nt
Organism: Astatotilapia calliptera (eastern happy)
Lineage: Eukaryota; Metazoa; Chordata; Actinopteri; Cichliformes; Cichlidae
Source: Ensembl
CUCUGAGCGGACACAUCACGGCACAUAAAACCACACCACAGACCCUCUGACUGGUCUCCCUCAGACUCCCCAUGUUGAAUUCAUGAACUCGUGAUUAAUAAACUGAGCAAUUCUGCCUUUGAGCAGCUUCUUGGUCAUCACCAAGUGCUGAUCGCCUUCUUGUGAAAUUUGGGUCGGUUUUAAACAAAAGAUGUUUGACCUCUGCCAAAGUUUAAGGUCACAGUGUAAAUACCCAAAAUGAGAUUUCCGUGACAUGGUCUAAAAAUCGCAGCUAUUCGGACGUGCCUGAGGAGGUGAUUAUGAAUGGGAGACUGGCUAGAUUGAUCACACCUUGUAUAAAGAGACAGAAUUUAAAAAAACAGAAUGUGCAGAGGAGGAGAAGAGGAUGACCACAGAAAAUUCCUGGAUGUAGUGAAGGAGGACAUGCAGAGGGUGUGUGUGACAGAAGAGGAUGCUGGGAUAUGGUGAUGAUAGAGGCAGAUGAGCUGCUGUGGUGACUCCUAAAGGGAGUUUUUUGUUUGCCUUCCGACAUCAGAGGCUGGAGAGCCAGGCUGUGAUAUGUCAGUAUGUGACUGUUUCAGUAUUAACAGAGAAAACUAACAUUAUUUUAAAGGGCUUUUCUGGAGCAUUCAGUGAUCCAGUGACUGUGAAUUAUGAGGGACAACAUUUAUAUCCUGUUAAGACAUCAUGCUGUAGAUAAACGCUGUUCUUCAACUUAGAUAUUAAGUAUUUAAUACCUAAAAGAGAAGGAAUGAAUUGUACAUUCAGUAUUUAAGGGGAAAAGAUACAGAUAUAUGUCAAAUAUUCUUGAUGACAGAGCAGUAGAUCCAAAUUAUAUUUUACAAAUUUUACAUCCAUAGAGAGAAACAACUCUACAGCUCCUGGACUCAUUUCUUCUUCUUUCACAAAACAACACAGAUGCUGACACAUUUAUCGGAUCGGAAACUUUGUUUCGAGCAAACUUUCACUCUAGCAACAUGUAUGAUAAAAUAGUACGCUGCUAAUCAAAAAGGUUUGUUCUCAUAGGCUCACAGAGAGACUGGGUGUAUUUGCCUGUCUGUCAAACAGUGCACAACCUGCAGUGCUGUGAUCUGAAACAUAUAUUUGGAAAUCUUUCAGCAGAAGACUUUUACUAUAUGAUGAAAACUUAUGAGACUGUAUAUGCCUAUAUGUAUAUCUCCAGCUGCAUUGCUGGAGUCUGAUAUUUUUUGGCCACCUUUUUUGAGCAAGAAGGUAAAUCUAACCAAGAGCAAGAACAGACCACACAGUUAUACAACCGGAACUUACCAGCCAUGCCCUCAAUCAUACACUGCUUCACAAUUCACUCUGAACGAGACCAUGAUUUAAAAUAAACCUCAUAUUAUAUCAAAUAAAUAACGGCUUGAAACUAGUAAUAGAAGCUAUCAAUUCAGGAAAGCACUGUUCUUCACAACCAGAGCAGUUGCUACAUGAUGGUCAUUAAGAAAUAUGCAGGUUUACUUAGUUUAGUGCAGCAUUACUGCAAUAAAAAAACUUAAAACUGGCUGUUUGUACAUUGACACAGCUAAACUGACUGCACAGUAGAUCUGUUCAGUUUUUGGUAAACAUUAGCAAAUGAUCCUUCACUUUUCUAACAAGCUUCAAGCCGGAUGGAUGGUAGAAUCACAGCCAUGAAGACAAGAACAGAGAGGCACAUCAUCCAACUCCUGCCCCCUUUUCAUAGUGUGGUCUGUGCCAGCUGGUGCUGAAGCCACCAUCUUUAGUCAGUGCAUUUGGUUUGUUUCUCUCCUCUGCUCGCUGUUUCACUUUGUUUGUGUGAGGUGCUUUUAGUCCUUCAAUUCACUGCAUCAAAAAAUAAAUGAACAUAUAUGUGCAGCAUCUACACAUCUUUCAUUACCUCAUACAUGGAUUAUUAUCUCUAAGUUUAAUGUCCACAGAAAAACCAUGUUCCAUACAUUAUGUAUCAUAUGGUCAUCCCAUGAUUUCUCCAUGCAGCCUCCAGAAAGCUGAACAUGCUUAGAAAAGAUGUCAAGAAAGGUUGUAUUUUUAUUUGGUCGUCCUAAGUAAAGCACUGUCCUCACAGCUCCUUCUGAUCUGUGUGAGUUUGGGUCAUGGAUUGCUUCUGCUCAUUGAGGAAUGACACUAUUCAGGGUAAGAGAACAUAUUUGUGCCACUUAAGGUGUUUUCCGAGAUACAGCUGCAGGUUGCUCACUGUGAUGACUGCAGAGUUUUUAUCCACAGCAGUUCUUCAUUUUUUUUUUAUUUUUUAUUUUUUUAGAAAAGAUUGAAACUGUUGCUUUGGUUUUUUGUCUGCUUGAUGUGUUUCAAUUAUCCUGUCAGUGCAGCAGAUGAGGCGUUUGGGUCUGUCAAACUGGCCAGCAGGAGGCGUCAGUCACCUCUGCAGCCAAACCUUUGUUUACUGUAGCCGCUCUGUGUGUCAAGUUCAUUUACUGUGUUAAUAAAAUGAUGCAAAACUUUGGGGUGUCGGUGUAAUUCCCUCCAGAAAAGGACCAAAGCAAAAUGUGCAUUAUUUCAUUGACUUGUCUACAUCCAAAACAGCUUCAGAGAGGAGAGGGGGGUCUUGGAGAAGAAUAAACACAACGUCCUCAGCACCACUUUCACACUUUACGUUACUCUGUAUGAACAAAAUAACUACACUUACUCACAUAUUGUAGUUACAGUAUAUUAGCCCAGCUAAAUUACAGACCAUAGACUCAGUUUUAGGACUCUGAACUAGACUAAAUUAGAAUAUGCCGCUCCGUCUGCUACAAAUGAAACUCUUACACUUUCAUGUCAUUUAAAUUGCAGUUUGCUUUGAGCCCUUGGUCCCAGAUUUCUGUGCUGUUUUAGUGUUUGCAUUUCUUAUUCUUGAAGUUGUUGAGCUUGUGGUUCCUGUUUGCCUUUGUUGUUAUUUUUUUACAAGAUGUUUGGGUUGUGUGAUAUUAUCUUAUUUCUGUGGUCUCUGUGUUGAUUUUGUUAUGACAGUCUCCCUGUUUAUGCCUCUCUUUGUCUCAUCUUCAUGCUCAGGCUUAGCUGUUUACUUCCUUACUUUUUACUUCCUGUUUUAUUUUUUAAGGUUAGUUUUCUUUCGUGUCUUACAUUAAUUUUACAUUCUGCCCUGAUUGUCUUCACCUAUGCUCAUUUCUUUUCAUCUUUGUCUCUUUGUUCUUCUGUCACGUCCCAAUCAGCUCUCAGUGUAAAUGUAGCCCUGUUUUCCCUUUUCCUUUGUGAUAAGGCAUCUGAUAGACGGCUCAUUUUUGCUUACUGCAUGUGGUUUUCUCUCAUUUGCUCCUUCGUAUAGCUGAACUUUAGUUUAUGGUUUGGAUCUUUAGCAUUUUGCUAAGUAGACCAAAGAUCAUGGCCUUUGUUUUUAUUUUGACAGCAUACUGUAUUUGGGUCGUCUAUACUGCACAGCCUUGACACAUAUCUUUGACACCUGCUGUCAAAUCCAUAAGUAUUUGAGAUAAUAACCCUCAGCCGCUACAGUGUAGUGGCCUAUAGACCUGGUCCCUGUACUACGAAGCAAGUUCACAUACCCAGGAUAUCUGGAUUCACUUAACCUAACAAUCAGGCUAAGCAGUCAAGGUGGAUAUCAUCUUAAAGUUGCUGCAGUUAAAAAGCUCGUAGUUGGAUCUCGGGAUCGAGCUGACGGUCCGCCGCGAGGCGAGCUACCGUCUGUCCCAGCCCCUGCCUCUCGGCGCCCCCUCGAUGCUCUUAGUUGAGUGUCCCGCGGGGUCCGAACCGUUUACUUUGAAAAAAUUAGAGUGUUCAAAGCAGGCCCGGUCGCCUGAAUACCGCAGCUAGGAAUAAUGGAAUAGGACUCCGGUUCUAUUUUGUGGGUUUUCUCUCUGAACUGGGGCCAUGAUUAA